This 560-nucleotide ribosomal RNA is filed under the name Fusarium sp. Gola-27. RNAcentral describes it as "eukaryotic LSU rRNA". The stretch from base 187 to 340 matches the Rfam family "5.8S ribosomal RNA". The record is from RNAcentral. Lineage: Eukaryota; Fungi; Ascomycota; Sordariomycetes; Hypocreales; Nectriaceae.
AAAAAAGACUCCGUUGGUGACCAGCGGAGGGAUCAUUACCGAGUUUACAACUCCCAAACCCCUGUGAACAUACCAAUUGUUGCCUCGGCGGAUCAGCCCGCUCCCGGUAAAACGGGACGGCCCGCCAGAGGACCCCCAAACUCUGUUUCUAUAUGUAACUUCUGAGUAAAACCAUAAAUAAAUCAAAACUUUCAACAACGGAUCUCUUGGUUCUGGCAUCGAUGAAGAACGCAGCAAAAUGCGAUAAGUAAUGUGAAUUGCAGAAUUCAGUGAAUCAUCGAAUCUUUGAACGCACAUUGCGCCCGCCAGUAUUCUGGCGGGCAUGCCUGUUCGAGCGUCAUUUCAACCCUCAAGCCCAGCUUGGUGUUGGGACUCGCGAGUCAAAUCGCGUUCCCCAAAUUGAUUGGCGGUCACGUCGAGCUUCCAUAGCGUAGUAGUAAAACCCUCGUUACUGGUAAUCGUCGCGGCCACGCCGUUAAACCCCAACUUCUGAAUGUUGACCUCGGAUCAGGUAGGAAUACCCGCUGAACUUAAGCAUACAAAAGGGGGGAGGAGAAAAA